This 404-nucleotide ribosomal RNA is filed under the name Actinomycetes bacterium. RNAcentral describes it as "Actinobacteria bacterium partial 16S ribosomal RNA". It matches the Rfam family "Bacterial small subunit ribosomal RNA", at positions 355 to 776 of the family's 1533-position model. Lineage: Bacteria; Bacillati; Actinomycetota; Actinomycetes. The record is from RNAcentral.
UGGGGAAUAUUGGACAAUGGGCGCAAGCCUGAUCCAGCCAUGCCGCGUGAGUGAUGAAGGCCCUAGGGUUGUAAAGCUCUUUCACCGGUGAAGAUAAUGACGGUAACCGGAGAAGAAGCCCCGGCUAACUUCGUGCCAGCAGCCGCGGUAAUACGAAGGGGGCUAGCGUUGUUCGGAUUUACUGGGCGUAAAGCGCACGUAGGCGGACUUUUAAGUCAGGGGUGAAAUCCCGGGGCUCAACCCCGGAACUGCCUUUGAUACUGGAAGUCUUGAGUAUGGUAGAGGUGAGUGGAAUUCCGAGUGUAGAAGUGAAAUUCGUAGAUAUUCGGAGGAACACCAGUGGCGAAGGCGGCUCACUGGACCAUUACUGACGCUGAGGUGCGAAAGCGUGGGGAGCAAAUAGG